UACGGAGGGGGCUAGCGUUGUUCGGAAUUACUGGGCGUAAAGCGCACGUAGGCGGCUUUACAAGUCAGAGGUGAAAGCCCGGAGCUCAACUCCGGAAUUGCCUUUGAGACUGUAUCGCUUGAACACGGGAGAGGUGAGUGGAAUUCCGAGUGUAGAGGUGAAAUUCGUAGAUAUUCGGAAGAACACCAGUGGCGAAGGCGGCUCACUGGACCGUUGUUGACGCUGAGGUGCGAAAGCGUGGGGAGCAAACAGG
RNAcentral lists this ribosomal RNA (253 nucleotides) under uncultured bacterium. Its description in RNAcentral is "partial 16S ribosomal RNA". It matches the Rfam family "Bacterial small subunit ribosomal RNA", at positions 524 to 776 of the family's 1533-position model. RNAcentral also lists the same sequence under 1 other name. The record is from RNAcentral.